ACGCACGCUGGCGGCGUGCUUAACACAUGCAAGUCGAGCGGAAAGGCCUGCUUUCCCUUGUGGAUUGCGGGUGCUCGAGUGGCGAACGGGUGAGUAACACGUGAGUGAUCUGCCCCCAACUUGGGUAUAAGCCUGGGAAACUGGGUCUAAUUCCCGAUAGGACUGCAGGGUGGUGCCUGUGGUGGAAAACGAUUUUCUAGUGGUUGGGGAUGAGCUCGCGGCCUAUCAGCUUGUUGGUGGGGUAAUGGCCUACCAAGGCGGCGACGGGUAGCCGGCCUGAGAGGGUGGACGGCCACAUUGGGACUGAGAUACGGCCCAGACUCCUACGGGAGGCAGCAGUGGGGAAUAGUGCACAAUGGGCGGAAGCCUGAUGCAGCGACGCCGCGUGGGGGAUGACGGCCUUCGGGUUGUAAACUCCUUUCGACCGCGAGGAAGCCACCUGGUUGGAAGGGUGGUGACGGUAGUGGUAGAAGAAGCACCGGCUAACUACGUG
RNAcentral lists this ribosomal RNA (493 nucleotides) under uncultured bacterium. Its description in RNAcentral is "partial 16S ribosomal RNA". It matches the Rfam family "Bacterial small subunit ribosomal RNA", at positions 29 to 507 of the family's 1533-position model. The record is from RNAcentral.